AGGCUGUCUGUGAUGAGUUCG
Molecule: microRNA, 21 nt
Filed under: Dasypus novemcinctus (nine-banded armadillo)
Lineage: Eukaryota; Metazoa; Chordata; Mammalia; Cingulata; Dasypodidae
Also listed under: 1 other name
Description: dno-miR-410-5p
Gene: dno-miR-410-5p
Source: miRBase by way of RNAcentral